RNAcentral lists this ribosomal RNA (496 nucleotides) under uncultured bacterium. RNAcentral describes it as "partial 16S ribosomal RNA". It matches the Rfam family "Bacterial small subunit ribosomal RNA", at positions 28 to 506 of the family's 1533-position model. The record is from RNAcentral.
GAUGAACGCUGGCGGCGUGCCUAAUACAUGCAAGUCGAGCGAACGGACGAGAAGCUUGCUUCUCUGAUGUUAGCGGCGGACGGGUGAGUAACACGUGGAUAACCUACCUAUAAGACUGGGAUAACUUCGGGAAACCGGAGCUAAUACCGGAUGAUAUUUUGAACCGCAUGGUUCAAAAGUGAAAGACGGUCUUGCUGUCGCUUAUAGAUGGAUCCGCGCUGCACUAGCUAGUUGGUAAGGUAACGGCUUACCAAGGCAACGAUGCAUAGCCGACCUGAGAGGGUGAUCGGCCACACUGGAACUGAGACACGGUCCAGACUCCUACGGGAGGCAGCAGUAGGGAAUCUUCCGCAAUGGGCGAAAGCCUGACGGAGCAACGCCGCGUGAGUGAUGAAGGUCUUCGGAUCGUAAAACUCUGUUAUUAGGGAAGAACAUAUGUGUAAGUAACUGUGCACAUCUUGACGGUACCUAAUCAGAAAGCCACGGCUAACUACGU